RNAcentral lists this ribosomal RNA (252 nucleotides) under uncultured bacterium. RNAcentral's name for it is "partial 16S ribosomal RNA". It matches the Rfam family "Bacterial small subunit ribosomal RNA", at positions 525 to 776 of the family's 1533-position model. The record is from RNAcentral.
ACGUAGGGAGCGAGCGUUGUUCGGAUUUACUGGGCGUAAAGGGCAUGUAGGCGGGUAUGCAAGUCGGUUGUGAAAUCCUCUGGCUCAACCAGAGAACUGCAGCCGAAACUGCACACCUUGAGUCCAGCAGAGGGAAUCGGAAUCCUAGGUGUAGCGGUGAAAUGCGUAGAUAUCUGGGAGAACAUCAGUGGCGAAGGCGGAUUCCUGGGCUGGUACUGACGCUGAGGUGCGAAAGCUAAGGGAGCGAACAGG